Gossypium arboreum is the source of this 146-nucleotide non-coding RNA. The record is from Rfam. Lineage: Eukaryota; Viridiplantae; Streptophyta; Magnoliopsida; Malvales; Malvaceae.
UGUUAAAAAAUCUCAUCUAUUUGUAUUGUUAAAAACUAGCGUGGUUGACAGAAUAAUCAAACAGUGACAUGUGGCGUACCACGUAUACCCUAUGCUGAUGCAUAUGAACCAGUUUUAAGUAGUAAAAAUGGAUAGAAUUUUCAACU